RNAcentral lists this ribosomal RNA (301 nucleotides) under uncultured bacterium. Its description in RNAcentral is "partial 16S ribosomal RNA". It matches the Rfam family "Bacterial small subunit ribosomal RNA", at positions 509 to 809 of the family's 1533-position model. The record is from RNAcentral.
CAGCAGCCGCGGGAAUACGUAGGGUGCAAGCGUUAAUCGGAAUUACUGGGCGUAAAGCGUGCGCAGGCGGUUUGUUAAGACAGAUGUGAAAUCCCCGGGCUCAACCUGGGAACUGCAUUUGUGACUGGCAAGCUAGAGUCUGGCAGAGGGGGGUGGAAUUCCGCGUGUAGCAGUGAAAUGCGUAGAUAUGCGGAGGAACACCGAUGGCGAAGGCAGCCCCCUGGGCCAACACUGACGCUCAUGCACGAAAGCGUGGGGAGCAAACAGGAUUAGAUACCCCUGUAGUCCCUGUCUCUUAUAA